Molecule: transfer RNA, 77 nt
Filed under: Kiritimatiellaceae bacterium
Lineage: Bacteria; Pseudomonadati; Kiritimatiellota; Kiritimatiellia; Kiritimatiellales; Kiritimatiellaceae
Description: tRNA-Arg
Rfam family: tRNA
About the family: Transfer RNA (tRNA) molecules are approximately 80 nucleotides in length. Their secondary structure includes four short double-helical elements and three loops (D, anti-codon, and T loops).
Source: RNAcentral
GCCUCGGUAGCUCAAUUGGAUAGAGCAUCGGAUUUCGAUUCCGACGGUUACAGGUUCGACUCCUGUCCGGGGCACCA